RNAcentral lists this ribosomal RNA (324 nucleotides) under Paenibacillus sp. P13VS. Its description in RNAcentral is "bacterial SSU rRNA". It matches the Rfam family "Bacterial small subunit ribosomal RNA", at positions 1 to 310 of the family's 1533-position model. Lineage: Bacteria; Bacillati; Bacillota; Bacilli; Caryophanales; Paenibacillaceae. The record is from RNAcentral.
UUUAUUGGAGAGUUUGAUCCUGGCUCAGGACGAACGCUGGCGGCAUGCCUAAUACAUGCAAGUCGAGCGGACUUGAUGAGAAGCUUGCUUCUCUGAUGGUUAGCGGCGGACGGGUGAGUAACACGUAGGCAACCUGCCCUCAAGCUUGGGACAACUACCGGAAACGGUAGCUAAUACCGAAUACUUGCUUUCUUCGCCUGAAGGAAGCUGGAAAGACGGAGCAAUCUGUCACUUGAGGAUGGGCCUGCGGCGCAUUAGCUAGUUGGUGAGGUAACGGCUCACCAAGGCGACGAUGCGUAGCCGACCUGAGAGGGUGAUCGGCCA